ACAAAGAGCUAGUUAAUGUGAUAGGUGGGUCCUCAACAGGAUGUCAGUCCUUUAAGAAAGGAAAGAAGAAGAAGGUGCAGAAGAAAAAUCAUACUGGGGCUUCUAAGCUCUAUCAGAUCAAAAAGUUCAAAGUAGACUAGAGUCAGAUAGAAUACUUCUUUUGUAAGAAGCUAGGGUACUGGAAGAUGAAUUAUCCUCAAUAUCUUGCUUCAUUUGACCCCAAC
RNAcentral lists this long non-coding RNA (224 nucleotides) under Elaeis guineensis (African oil palm). RNAcentral's name for it is "long non-coding RNA (EGUI_LNC037390)". Lineage: Eukaryota; Viridiplantae; Streptophyta; Magnoliopsida; Arecales; Arecaceae. The record is from RNAcentral.